GUGGACAGAGCCAAGAUGACCAGGGUGCUUGGGACGGGUAUCCUCACUGGCCUGAGCCAGGCUGGACAAGUCUCCAGCCAGAGCCCGUCUGUCUUCCCCCUGGUCUCCUGCUGCAAAGACGUCAUCAUGAAUGCCAGCUCCUUGACACUGGGCUGCCUGGUCGCGGACUACUUCCCAGAGCCAGUGACAGUGACCUGGGACUCAGGGUCCCUGAAGAGGAGCACAGUGGCCUUCCCCAGUGCCCACAACCCAGCCUCGAGCCUCUACACCACCGUCAGCCAGAUGACCGCCUCAGGAGAGUGGGCCAAGCAGACGUUCACCUGCAGCGUGGCUCAUGCCGCCUCCACCACCAACAAGACCAUCAGCGUGUGUGCCGCGGACUUCUCCCCGCCCACUGUGAAGCUCUUCCACUCGUCCUGCCAGCCCAACGGGGAUGACAGGACGGUCAUCCAGCUCCUCUGCCUCAUCUCCGGCUACCACCCGGACGAGAUGGAGGUCAGCUGGCUGGUGGACGGGCACAGGGAAGCAGACAGCUCCCAGCACGUCGGCCCCGUCAGGCAGGAGGGCAAGGCAAACUCCACCCACAGCGAGUUCAACAUCACCCAGGCCGACUGGGUGUCCCAAAAAACCUACACCUGCCAGGUCUCCUAUCGAGGCCUGACCUUUCAGGACCAUGCCCGCAAAUGCACAGAGUCCGACCCUCGAGGCGUGAGCACCUACCUGAUCCCACCCAGCCCCCUCGACCUGUACGUCCACAAGUCACCCAAGAUCACCUGCCUCGUGGUGGACCUGGCCAGCGUGGAUGACAUGACCCUGAAGUGGACCCGGGAGAGCAAGCUCCCCUUGCCACAGGACCAGCGGGUCUCCAAGCGUCACUUCAACGGGACGUACACCUUCAUGUCCACCCUGCCGGUGGACGCCACAGACUGGAUCGAGGGCGAAACCUACUACUGCACAGUGAACCACCCUGACCUGCCCAUCGCCAUUGUGCGCUCCAUCUCCAAGGCCCCUGGCAAGCGUGCAGCCCCUGAGGUCCACGUGUUCCCGCCUCCCGAGGAAGGGCAGGGGCCCACGGACAAGCUCACCCUCACCUGCCUGGCUCAGAACUUCUUCCCUGCCGACAUCUCGGUGCUCUGGCUGCGUAAUGACGUCGCGGUCCGCACAGACCAGUACACCACCACGUGGCCCCGCAGGACCAGCGGCUCCGUCCCCACCUUCUUUGUCUUCAGCCGUCUAGAGGUCAGCCGGACGGACUGGACACUGAACAGCAAAUUCUCCUGCCAAGUGGUCCAUGAGGCACUGACCCAAACCAGGACCCUUGAGAAAACCGUGUCCAAAGCCCCCGGUAAAUGAUGCUGACCUCCCUCCCACGCCCCUCUCCCCGAGGGCUCCGUCCUGCUGGGCCUGGGAAGGGAGCAGGCCAGACCUCCCAACCACUACUGUCAAUAAACGCUCCGCACCUGCUGGA
Manis javanica (Malayan pangolin) is the source of this 1468-nucleotide non-coding RNA. The record is from the annotation of a RefSeq genome assembly. Lineage: Eukaryota; Metazoa; Chordata; Mammalia; Pholidota; Manidae.